Molecule: long non-coding RNA, 717 nt
Filed under: Rhinopithecus roxellana (golden snub-nosed monkey)
Lineage: Eukaryota; Metazoa; Chordata; Mammalia; Primates; Cercopithecidae
Description: lncRNA (ENSRROG00000045903.1)
Source: RNAcentral
GGCCUUUCAGGUUUGGAUAUGACAAUGAAGGGUGGUCUAGUCUAGAAAGAUCAGCUCACCUUCUCAAUGAAACAGGUGCAGAUUUCAUAACAAUUUUGGAGAGUGAUGCUUCUAAGCCCUAUAUGGGGAACAAUGACUUAACCAUGUGGUUAGGGGAGAAGCUGGGUUUCUAUACAGACUUUGGUCCAAGCACCAGGUAUCACACUUGGGGGAUUAUGGCUUUGUCAAGAUACCCAAUUGUGAAAUCGGAGCAUCACCUUCUUCCGUCACCAGAGGGCGAGAUCGCACCAGCCAUCACAUUGACCGUUAACAUUUCGGGCAAGCCAGUGGAUUUUGUCGUGACACACUUUGGGAACCACGAAGAUGACCUCGACAGGAAACUGCAGGCUAUUGCUGUUUCAAAACUACUGAAAAGUAGCUCGAAUCAAGUGAUAUUUCUGGGAUAUAUCACUUCAGCACCUGGCUCCAGAGAUUAUCUACAGCUCACUGAACAUGGCAAUGUGAAGGAUAUCGACAGCACUGAUCAUGACAGAUGGUGUGAAUACAUUAUGUAUCGAGGACUGAUCAGGUGAGCACAGGGGUUUGAUUUUGUUUUUAAUCUAUUAUUGCUGCAAUCUUUUGGGUCUAUCUGAGAAGGAAGAACAACUUUAUGGAAGCAAUUAAUUUUUGUUGCUUUUUAUAAACAUUGAGAUGACUAUACAGUUUAACAUCUUUUUC